UUGGUGUGGGAGAAUUGUAAGAGGAGGAAUGCAAAAACGCUGCUUUGGCUCUUCUUGCACAGCAUUAUACUUCCGUAGCAAAUAGAGUAAUUUCAAGAACUUGGUAGAAAAACUCAACACGUGCACAUACGUAAGUGGCAUUUGUUUCACGCCAACAGAUGUGCUAGUUUGCAAAAUAUUCAUACCAUAUGUCGAUUUCUAAUUAAUCGUGAAUCUUAUGAUGUUCCAGAGUGCAAUUACUC
RNAcentral lists this long non-coding RNA (242 nucleotides) under Olea europaea (common olive). Its description in RNAcentral is "long non-coding RNA (OEUR_LNC005870)". The record is from RNAcentral. Lineage: Eukaryota; Viridiplantae; Streptophyta; Magnoliopsida; Lamiales; Oleaceae.